This 1067-nucleotide long non-coding RNA is filed under the name Homo sapiens (human). RNAcentral's name for it is "HSALNT0317815". Lineage: Eukaryota; Metazoa; Chordata; Mammalia; Primates; Hominidae. The record is from RNAcentral.
CUUGCAGGCAGCGGUUUGGGUGAGGGUGUGGGGCUGGGGGCAGCCGCUGAGGGUGGUCCCCGCCCUGCCCGGGGAGGAGCGCGGCUGCCCCGGGGCCCCCCACGCCACUGUGGCGGGAGUUUUUAAUGCCACCCACGAGAUAUCAAUCUCUGCUCCCUCCAAGACAAAUGCCGUGUCAGGCCGGCUGCCUGGACCCCUUAUUUAUCACCAUUUAAUAUAUAUUAAAGCGCUCACACCUCUGAUUGCCAAAACAAACAAAAAAAAACUGCAUCAAUCACAGGCCGGCAACAGUCGGGAGGCAGGUGGGGCGCUCAGGGUGUCCCCUCCGGCCCAAACUCCCUUGGCCUCCCUGCCCUAGCAGAGGCCCGGUAUCCUCCUUCGGCCCAGGUCACCCCCUACCACGUGCAGCGAUGCCCCGUGGGCAGGCCAGCUCUCCCCACUCCCUCCCCCAGCGAAGCCAUCGCGGUGCAGAGGACACAAGGCACAGAGGGCUUGGCCUGUAGCCAGCAAGAGUUCAAGAAGACACGGCGGCCUGGCACCACUUCCUGACAGAUCUCCGAACCCAUCACGGCCACCCUGUCCCAGCAGGGAGCUGGGGCCCCGUGGCCUCCGUGUUAGGAUGGGGAAACGGCAUAGUUGUGAUGGACCCAGGGCAGACUCUUUCACCUGGAGAAACGGACCCAAUUCCAGGGAAAUGUUGAAAUACAGAGCAGCGAUUGUAGUCGGAGACGGUGGGGAGUGGACAGACCUUUUCCUGUCAGGAGGAAUUGCCCCUUUUCAAUAUCACUUCUCUGCAAGAUGUCGGAGCCAUGGGGUCAAACGUGCCAAGGACGUUCCUGCAGGCUUCGCUCAGGGCAGGGGCAGAGGGGCACUCGAUGCCAGUCACCAAAGGCACUGACAAGUGCUGUUGUAAAGAACAUGACUUGGUUUGAGUCCUGAGUUCUCCAGAUCAGUGUGAGCAGGAGCCCCUUGCUUUCGAAGCACCCCCAUUACCUUCCCGGGGUUGGAGGAGGGGUGGAACUUCCUUCUCCCCUCCUGGGGUCACACCCCGUGCCAGGUUCUGGGAU